Molecule: small nuclear RNA, 104 nt
Filed under: Coniosporium apollinis CBS 100218
Lineage: Eukaryota; Fungi; Ascomycota; Dothideomycetes
Description: U5 spliceosomal RNA
Rfam family: U5 spliceosomal RNA
About the family: U5 RNA is a component of both types of known spliceosome. The precise function of this molecule is unknown, though it is known that the 5' loop is required for splice site selection and p220 binding, and that both the 3' stem-loop and the Sm site are important for Sm protein binding and cap methylation.
Source: Rfam by way of RNAcentral
UUGGAGUGGGACGCCUUACAGAACUCAUUUCUUGCCUUUUACCAGAAGUGACCUUGAAGCGCCCGCAAAACUCCGUUCUCUCAAUCUUUGGAACACCACGGGUU